This 253-nucleotide ribosomal RNA is filed under the name uncultured bacterium. RNAcentral's name for it is "partial 16S ribosomal RNA". It matches the Rfam family "Bacterial small subunit ribosomal RNA", at positions 524 to 776 of the family's 1533-position model. The record is from RNAcentral.
UACGUAGGGACCGAGCGUUGUCCGGAAUCAUUGGGCGUAAAGAGCGUGUAGGCGGCUUGUUAAGUCUUGCGUGAAAUCUCGGGGCUCAACCCCGAGCGGUCGUGAGAAACUGGCAGGCUAGAGUGCGGGAGAGGAGAGUGGAAUUCCUGGUGUAGCGGUGAAAUGCGCAGAUAUCAGGAAGAACACCCGUGGCGAAGGCGGCUCUCUGGAAUGCAACUGACGCUGAGACGCGAAAGCGUGGGGAGCAAACAGG